Molecule: ribosomal RNA, 1346 nt
Filed under: uncultured bacterium
Lineage: Bacteria
Description: partial 16S ribosomal RNA
Rfam family: Bacterial small subunit ribosomal RNA
Source: RNAcentral
GACGAACGCUGGCGGCGUGCUUAACACAUGCAAGUCGAACGGAAAGGCCCUGCUUUUGUGGGGUGCUCGAGUGGCGAACGGGUGAGUAACACGUGAGUAACCUGCCCUUGACUUUGGGAUAACUUCAGGAAACUGGGGCUAAUACCGGAUAGGAGCUCCUGCUGCAUGGUGGGGGUUGGAAAGUUUCGGCGGUUGGGGAUGGACUCGCGGCUUAUCAGCUUGUUGGUGGGGUAGUGGCUUACCAAGGCUUUGACGGGUAGCCGGCCUGAGAGGGUGACCGGCCACAUUGGGACUGAGAUACGGCCCAGACUCCUACGGGAGGCAGCAGUGGGGAAUAUUGCACAAUGGGCGGAAGCCUGAUGCAGCAACGCCGCGUGCGGGAUGACGGCCUUCGGGUUGUAAACCGCUUUCGCCUGUGACGAAGCGUGAGUGACGGUAAUGGGUAAAGAAGCACCGGCUAACUACGUGCCAGCAGCCGCGGUGAUACGUAGGGUGCGAGCGUUGUCCGGAUUUAUUGGGCGUAAAGGGCUCGUAGGUGGUUGAUCGCGUCGGAAGUGUAAUCUUGGGGCUUAACCCUGAGCGUGCUUUCGAUACGGGUUGACUUGAGGAAGGUAGGGGAGAAUGGAAUUCCUGGUGGAGCGGUGGAAUGCGCAGAUAUCAGGAGGAACACCAGUGGCGAAGGCGGUUCUCUGGGCCUUUCCUGACGCUGAGGAGCGAAAGCGUGGGGAGCGAACAGGCUUAGAUACCCUGGUAGUCCACGCUGUAAACGGUGGGUACUAGGUGUGGGGUCCAUUCCACGGGUUCCGUGCCGUAGCUAGCGCUUUAAGUACCCCGCCUGGGGAGUACGGCCGCAAGGCUAAAACUCAAAGGAAUUGACGGGGCCCCGCACAAGCGGCGGAGCAUGCGGAUUAAUUCGAUGCAACGCGUAGAACCUUACCUGGGUUUGACAUGGAUCGGGAGUGCUCAGAGAUGGGUGUGCCUCUUUUGGGGUCGGUUCACAGGUGGUGCAUGGCUGUCGUCAGCUCGUGUCGUGAGAUGUUGGGUUAAGUCCCGCAACGAGCGCAACCCUUGUUCACUGUUGCCAGCACGUUAUGGUGGGGACUCAGUGGAGACCGCCGGGGUCAACUCGGAGGAAGGUGGGGAUGACGUCAAGUCAUCAUGCCCCUUAUGUCCAGGGCUUCACGCAUGCUACAAUGGCUGGUACAGAGAGUGGCGAGCCUGUGAGGGUGAGCGAAUCUCGGAAAGCCGGUCUCAGUUCGGAUUGGGGUCUGCAACUCGACCUCAUGAAGUCGGAGUCGCUAGUAAUCGCAGAUCAGCAACGCUGCGGUGAAUACGUUCCCGGGGCU